GGCCGGUUAGCUCAGUUGGUUAGAGCUUGGUGCUGAUAACGCCAAGGUCGCGGGUUCGAUCCCCGUACGGGCCA
This 74-nucleotide transfer RNA is filed under the name Ictidomys tridecemlineatus (thirteen-lined ground squirrel). RNAcentral's name for it is "tRNA-Ile (GAT) (tRNA-Ile-GAT-1-1)". It matches the Rfam family "tRNA". Rfam says of the family: Transfer RNA (tRNA) molecules are approximately 80 nucleotides in length. RNAcentral also lists the same sequence under 1 other name. Lineage: Eukaryota; Metazoa; Chordata; Mammalia; Rodentia; Sciuridae. The record is from Rfam by way of RNAcentral.